GGAGCCGUAGCGAAAGCGAGUCUGAAGAGGGCGAGCAGUUGGCUGACGCAGACCCGAAACCAAGUGACCUACCCAUGACCAGGUUGAAGGCGCGGUAAAACGCGCUGGAGGACCGAACCCACGUAAGUUGAAAAUUGCGGGGAUGAGUUGUGGGUAGCGGUGAAAUUCCAAACGAACUUGGAGAUAGCUGGUUCUCUCCGAAAUAGCUUUAGGGCUAGCCUCGCAAAGAGGAUGCUGGAGGUAGAGCUCUGUUUGGACUAGGGGCCCGUCAAGGGUUACUGAAUUCAGAUAAACUGCGAAUUCCAGACAUUUAUGUGCGGGAGUCAGACUGCGAGUGAUAAGAUCCGUAGUCGAAAGGGAAACAGCCCAGAUCACCAGUUAAGGUCCCAAAAUUCAUGCUAAGUGGAAAAGGAUGUGGAGUUGCGCAGACAACUAGGACGUUGGCUCAGAAGCAGCCAUCAUUCAAAGAGUGCGUAAUAGCUCACUAGUCGAGUGACGCCGCGCCGAAAAUUUACCGGGGCUAAGCAUGAUACCGAAACUGUGGAUGUGCGUUUAUGCACGUGGUAGGAGAGCGUUCUAGCGGCGGUGAAGCAUGACCGAGAGGACAUGUGGAGCUUCUAGAAGUGAGAAUGCCGGUAUGAGUAACGAAAGACAGGUGAGAAUCCUGUCCGCCGCAAGACUAAGGUUUCCUGGGGCAGGCUCGUCCGCCCAGGGUAAGUCGGGACCUAAGGCGAGGCCGAGAGGCGUAGUCGAUGGACAACAGGUUGAAAUUCCUGUACUGCACCGAAUCGUUAUGAGCGAUGGAGGGACGCAGGAGGCUAGCAGCGCGUGGUGCUGGAUACCACGUUCAAGCGUCAAGUCUGAGAGCGAGUCAAAUGCUUGCUCUCAUAAGGACAAGGCGUGAUGAGGAGCGAAAUUAAAGUAGCGAAGGCUGCGACGUCACACUGCCGAGAAAAGCUUCUAGCCAGAGACGGUGCACCCGUACCGCAAACCGACACAGGUAGUCGAGGAGAGUAUCCUCAGGUGAGCGAGAGAACUCUCGUUAAGGAACUCGGCAAAAUGGCCCCGUAACUUCGGGAGAAGGGGCGCUGGUCGCAAGAUCAGCCGCAGUGAAAAGGCCCAAGCAACUGUUUAUCAAAAACACAGGCAUCUGCAAAAUCGUAAGAUGAAGUAUAGGUGCUGACACCUGCCCGGUGCUGGAAGGUUAAGAGGAGAGCUUAGCGCAAGCGAAGGUUUGAAUUGAAGCCCCAGUAAACGGCGGCCGUAACUAUAACGGUCCUAAGGUAGCGAAAUUCCUUGUCGGGUAAGUUCCGACCUGCACGAAAGGUGUAAUGAUUUGGGCACUGUCUCAACGAGAGACUCGGUGAAAUUAUAAUACCCGUGAAGAUGCGGGUUACCCGCGACAGGACGGAAAGACCCCAUGGAGCUUUACUGCAGUUUAAUAUUGGGUAUCUGUCAAGCAUGUACAGGAUAGGUAGGAGCCGGAGAAGAUAGGACGCCAGUCUUAUCAGAGGCGCUGUUGGGAUACUACCCUUGCUUGACGGAUGCUCUAACUCAGGCCUGUGAUCCAGGCCGAGGACAGUGUUUGACGGGCAGUUUGACUGGGGCGGUCGCCUCCUAAAGUGUAACGGAGGCGCCCAAAGGUUCCCUCAGAAUGGUUGGAAAUCAUUCGCAGAGUGUAAAGGUAAAAGGGAGCUUGACUGCGAGAGAGACAACUCGAGCAGGUACGAAAGUAGGGCUUAGUGAUCUGGUGGUACCGUAUGGAAGGGCCAUCACUCAACGGAUAAAAGCUACCCUGGGGAUAACAGGCUUAUCUCCCCCAAGAGUUCACAUCGACGGGGAGGUUUGGCACCUCGAUGUCGGCUCGUCGCAUCCUGGGGCUGAAGUCGGUCCCAAGGGUUGGGCUGUUCGCCCAUUAAAGCGGCACGCGAGCUGGGUUCAGAACGUCGUGAGACAGUUCGGUCCCUAUCCGUCGUGGGCGCAGGAAAUUUGAGAGGAGCUGUCCUUAGUACGAGAGGACCGGGAUGGACGCACCGCUGGUGUACCAGUUGUCUUGCCAAAGGCAUCGCUGGGUAGCUAUGUGCGGACGGGAUAAGCGCUGAAAGCAUCUAAGUGCGAAGCCCCCCUCAAGAUGAGAUUUCCCAUUUCUUCAAGAAAGUAAGACACCUCAGAGACGAUGAGGUAGAUAGGCCGGGAGUGGAAGAGCCGUGAGGCUUGGAGCGGACCGGUACUAAUCAGUCGAGGACUUGACCAAAA
RNAcentral lists this ribosomal RNA (2256 nucleotides) under Lactobacillus delbrueckii subsp. bulgaricus. RNAcentral describes it as "partial 23S ribosomal RNA". It matches the Rfam family "Bacterial large subunit ribosomal RNA", at positions 662 to 2925 of the family's 2925-position model. The record is from RNAcentral. Lineage: Bacteria; Bacillati; Bacillota; Bacilli; Lactobacillales; Lactobacillaceae.